CCCAAAGUGCUGGGAUUACAUGCGUGAGCCACCGCGCCCAGCCUGCCAUCUGGUUUUCUAGUGUCACCAAGUGAAUACCAGACCUGUGCCAACAGGGCAUAGCAUGAUGUAAUCCUCAUGGUGCUUCUUUUUCUCUUAUUGCAGGAGAAGCCUGUGGCCCAGUAUCAGCACCGUACGUAUUCUUUUUCUUUUAAAGAGUUACUGAGACGUAGUUGACAUGCAAACCAAUUCACCCAUUUAAAGUAGGUGAUUCAGUGUUUUUACUAUAUUUACAGGGUUGUGCAGCCAUUGUUACAAUCUAAUUUUAGAAGCUCUUGAUUCCCUCUCAAAAAUCCCCAUUAGUAGUGACUCCUCUGUUUUCCCCAACCCCCACACCCUUGGUUCUAGGCAGCCCUAAUCUACUUCCUGUUUCUAUAGUACACUGCCUUUCUGUAUUAACCGAUUCUUAAGGUGACUGUUUCACUUUGAUGAGGUUGCCCUAGCUAGGAAGCCAAGGCUCUUUCAUUUCUUUCUGCCCCUCUCCUUUGCCUUCCUUCAGCACCAAGGAGAAUGAUCCAGCAGCAGCUCAGUCCAUUCUUGUCAACCGCCCAGCUCCACACACUCCAGCCCCCGUCCACAUUCCCCAAAGCUCCUUGUGAGAUUCCUCGCAGCACCAAUGCCCUGACUGUCGCUCUGUGUUCUCUUAGGUCCUGUUCUACUCAGCCAUAUAAUAGAAGAUGUUGAGGAGGAGGAGAAGCCCCCUGACCUGGUAAGAUGCAUUUGUUCAUCUCUAGGAGAAAUGUCUUUUUCUGGGGCUUCUAGAAUAUCCAAUGAAUAUCGUUUUUGACUGCCUUGUGAAUCAGACCUCAGUUGUCAUGGACUCUAGUGACCAGUCACUGGAGUUUAUGACCAACUGAGGCCUGAUUGACGAUGUCAGUCAAAAGGUGGCAUAACCUACAAACUGGUCUUGAGCAUAUUUCUCAGUAGCACCUUUGUCUUCUUGAAAAAUUAUUUUGUAUUUGCCAGCUGACAUGAACACUUGCUAAAUAUUCCAAAACACCCCACUGCCUUUUCCACAAGCAUCUUCUAUGCUUUAUCUGGGGACCAGUGACGUGGUUUUCUAAUGUCACCAAGUGAAAAGACCUGCACCAGCCACACCCAGCAUGAUCUGAUGCUCAUGGUGUUUUGUGUUUUUUUCUCUUGUUGCAGACCACCUCUACAGCCCCAGGUGACCACCCUCCUCCUGAGGAUUCCAGGAGCACCACCUCUGAGGAUGAUGAUGAGGUAAGUAUCCCUUUUUUUGUCCUGUAAAGAAUGCCCUGUCAGGUGGGGAUCACGGAGGGAGAGCAUCAGGAUUAAUAGCUAAUGGAUGUGGGGCUUAAACCUAGGUGAUGGGUUGAUACAUGCAGCAAAGCACCAUAGCACAUGUUUACCUGUGUAAUAAACCUGCACAGUCCUGCACAUGCAUCCUGGAACUUAAACUUCAAAAGAAAACAAAAUUGAAAAAGAAUUGUUUCUUCCCUGAUUCCUUUCCUUCUGUUAAUUGUGAUAAUCUGAGAAGGCACAUUAUGUACGACAUGUCCAAUUCUCUUUGGGGGGAGUGGAAUUCAGUGGGAGUGUCUUCCCAUCGGAUACGUGAUAUAUUAGAAUGUUUUUAAAUGACAGCAUCCAUUAUCAACUGUAAGGCAGAGGAAUUUUCCUCAACACCAGUUUUCCUCUUUGGUUUAGGCACUGUGUAUUUGCCAAUGUUAAUCAACUUCAUAGAUAAAAUCUGUGGGAAAAGGUCUUGACUUUUCCACAGGUGUCCUCUAUACUAGCAUGUUUGAUUCUUGGCCUUUGACUCAACCAUUGUCUUACAACUAUUUUUCUGAAGUCAUCAAGAGACUAACAGAUCUGGGGGGUGGCUAAGGGGUGCAGAAUAAUUAAUCUGAUCCUCAUAGCGUCUUCUUUUGUCUAAUUGCAGAGUUCAUCGCUCCCUGGUUAUGGUAUGUACCCUGAAGUAGCUCACCUGCUGAGGAACAAACUUGCUGGCUUUCAUAUAUAGAAACCUGAUUCUUGGUUCUGGUUAAAGAAUAUUGGGGGUCUAGUGAGAGCAAAUAAUUUUGUAAGUGUAUAACUGUGAUCAGAGGGGCUAUAUGAAUGCAUGUGAACCCAGAGGACCAGCCAGGGGAUGUGUGAGCCGAUGUGGCUUCAGCUGAGGUAGAAGUGAGUGCACCUCUCUCUGACAUACUCUGAUGUUGGUGGUUUUAAAGAAUGGACACUGGAAAAUCUCAACAGUGAAGAAGAUGCCUUUCCAGGUAGGCAACAAGAUUACAGGUGGAAGCUAAUAAAGCAGGUUCCCAGGAGCCUUCAGCUUCUGCCUCCUGCCUGGGAGGCUGAGGGAGCAUGUAGAAAGAGAAGAAAAAGAAAACAUGGAUGAGGUUUGUUCUUGUCAGAGUUUAAUGUCAUAGUGGUGAGAGGUGUGAGCACCCUGCUGUGAUCACCUCUUCUUGCUUUAUUAUUUAAAGAUGGUCUUUCUGAGGACGCCUCUUUUCUGCCUCUUCCACUGCAAAAUGUUAAAGCCUUUGGUUUGGGACACAGUUCUGUCAUGGCAGUUACUUAAUCCUGGAGACAACAGUUCUUCCAUAGUGUGCCCAGAUGCUUGGGAGAAACUGAUCCUCACCUUCUGAACUGUUAGGUUUCAUGGCAGCACAUUCAUUUGUCUGUUCUUGCUGUUUACUUCAGAUAUCAAGGGCUCUCUCUGGGAAUGGGGGACAGGAUGAGGAUUCACUCUGGGCUCAAUGCAGAGAUCCAGUGUCUUGUAAACGGAGGAAGAAACACAACCUUGAGCACACUGCUCAAUUUCUUUAUUCAAGUGAGAAUAUGGAGUUUUACCAUCAUUUGUUAAAGAGGCCUUCCUUUUCCCUUUGUGUAUUCUUGGUACCUUUGUUGAAGAUCAAUUGACUGUGUAUGCAUGCAUUGGAUUUUGGGCUCUCUAUUCUGUAUCUCCAAUACUUAUUGGUGCCCCCAUGCUAGAACCCUGCUGUCUGAAUUUCUGUAUCUUUUCCUCUAGUAGAUUUCAGUCUCAUGAAUGUGUAUCUUCCAAUGCUGUUCUUUUUCAGCAUUAUUAUGAUUAUUUGAGACAUAUAAGAAUUCAUCAAAAAUUUGGGGUUAUCUUUUCCAUUUAUGCACAAAUGGCUGUUCCCAGUUUGAUAGUAGUUGUUGUGUGUCUUUGGAUCAUUUUGUACUAUUGUGUAUUAGUCAGGUUUUGUCUUCCUGUCUGUGAAUAUGGGAUGUCUUUUCAUUUAUUUGUACCUUCUCUACUUCCUUUCAGUCACAUUCUGUUCUUACCAGCUUACUAGUAUUUCAUCUCAUUGGUUAGAUUCAUUUGGAAGUAUCUAAUGAUGUCAGAGGUUAUUAUCCAUGGAAUUACAUUUGUAGUCUUACUAUUGGAUUAUUUAUAUUGAUUGCAUAUUAACACAACUGCCGUUUGAGUGUUAACUUUGUACUCUGCAAUUUUGAUGAAUUUAUUAGAAUGAAUAGCAUUCUUGUAGACUGUCUCCGAUAUUCCGUAUGCAGAAUGUUAAAGAAGUUCUCAGCUUCAUACCUCUCUUUUCAAGUAUAUUGGUACUGUGAAGGUCUGUUCAUAUUUACCUACUGACUGGUGUCCUUCCAAUUGAUGUAGUAAGGUUGUUCAAGAAAUACUUUGCCUACUUAUGCCAUAAUGUAUAGUUUUAAUUCUUUGUUCAUGCUAUUGUAUUUAUUAUUUUUCCAUAGAGUAAAAUGCAAUAUUUCUGAUUAGAUUCUGCA
Molecule: long non-coding RNA, 3768 nt
Organism: Cebus imitator (Panamanian white-faced capuchin)
Lineage: Eukaryota; Metazoa; Chordata; Mammalia; Primates; Cebidae
Exons: 2
Source: RefSeq, a predicted model, not a curated record